Dermochelys coriacea (leatherback sea turtle) is the source of this 181-nucleotide long non-coding RNA. RefSeq lists it as uncharacterized. Lineage: Eukaryota; Metazoa; Chordata; Testudines; Dermochelyidae. The record is from RefSeq and is a predicted model, not a curated record. The transcript is spliced from 4 exons.
UACAGGCUGGUCAGCCUCACCUCAGUCCCUGAAAAAAUCAUAGAGCAGGUCCUCAAGGAAUCCAUUUUGAAGCACUUGGAGGAGAGGAAGGUGAUUAGGAACAGUCAGCAUGGAUUCACCAAGGAUAAGUCAUGCCUGGCCAACCUCAUUGCCUUCUAUGGUACACAAGACAGCAGCCACA